Long non-coding RNA from Solanum dulcamara, 180 nucleotides. RefSeq lists it as uncharacterized. The record is from RefSeq and is a predicted model, not a curated record. Lineage: Eukaryota; Viridiplantae; Streptophyta; Magnoliopsida; Solanales; Solanaceae. The transcript has 3 exons.
GUGGAGUGCAGCGAGUGUUCCAGCGAUUUCGACUCGACCUCAGCUCUAGCCAGUGUCCAGCACAUCAGGUUCCAGGAUGAGCGAUAGUUAUAUACAGGUUUGAAUUGAAGAGAUUUUGAAUGAAGAUAAGAAGAUUGAGAAAUUGAUAACUCAAUAACUUUUGUUCACGCGAAAGUUUUC